AAAUAUAAAAAACAUUAAAAAAAAAAACAAAACCUUAAUUAUUAUCAGAUCCCUCUCUCGCUCUCGCUCUCGCUCGUACUCUCUCUCACCUCACCUCUUUGAAGCCGCUGCCCACUGCUCAGAAAGUGGACGGCGAAGGUGAUUCGCUGCCAAGCGAUUUGACGACGACGGAAACGGCGACAACUUCUCCCCUACUCGCUGACGACGACGGCUAUCUCCUCCCUAAGUCGCCGACGACUUCUUCACCAACGAAGGAAGCGACACAGCUCCUCUCUCGCAAACGGCAGCAACUCAGAUCGGAGAUCGGAGAUCGGACACGAGGAAUUCUGUUUCAUUCAUUGCCGGAUUAACAAUUACUUCACUCACAAUAGCUACUCUACUUAAAUUAUCAACCUUAGAUCGGAGAUCGGGGAGUAGGAACUCCCUUUCACUCAUUUGUCGCGGAUAAACAAUUACUCCACUCACAACAGAAUUUGAAGAAAAGGGUUGAUAGGAGAAGCAAUGGAAACUAGAGAGCAUAAAGGAGGAGAAGAAGAUAAACAAGCAACUAGUACUAAUGAUGUGGGCUGGAGUGGAAUGUUGGUGAAUCAGUAUCGGAAAAUUAAAGAGAAUGCAGAAACAUACCCUUAUGUUUGGGGUUCCUACAUUGUUGUCUACGGGGGUUUUACUCUUUAUAUGGCUUAUAGAUGGAGGAAGCUAAGAAAGACCGAAGACAGAGUUCGAGUUCUUCAGGAAAGAUUGCGCAAGAUUGUUGCGGCUGAGGAGUCCUCAACAACCUCAACCUCAACCCCUGCAGGUGCCUCCUCCACCGAAAAUGUUCGACCACCUGUAAAGCCUUCAAAUGAGUGAAUAAUCUGCUGAUUUUGGUCAGUUUAUCCUUUCCCUGAAAAAGUUGCUUGGGGAUUUCAAAACAAGGGUCCUCACUUCUCGAUAAUUUAUUAUUUUUUUUUUAAGAAUGAAUAGAUUUGAGAGUAAAGCCCAUCGAUUUUGUCAGACUUGGUGGGUUAAUUUUGAACCAUAUAUAAAUGACUGUUUUACCAUAUAUAGAUGGUGGACUUGUACAAGCUUAUAAUGACGGUUGAGCUCAUGGUCCUUGUGUAAUUUACUUCCAGUGUAAUCUGUUUAAACCUUA
This is an RNA transcript of Cannabis sativa, 1132 nucleotides long. RefSeq lists it as uncharacterized. The record is from RefSeq and is a predicted model, not a curated record. Lineage: Eukaryota; Viridiplantae; Streptophyta; Magnoliopsida; Rosales; Cannabaceae. The transcript is spliced from 3 exons.